GCCUGGCUAGCUCAAUCGGCUAGAGCAUUCGACUCUUAAAUACAGUAGUAAUCGAAAGGUUGCGGGUUCGAGUCCCGCGUUGGGCU
This 86-nucleotide transfer RNA is filed under the name Lodderomyces parapsilosis. RNAcentral's name for it is "tRNA-Lys". It matches the Rfam family "tRNA". From Rfam's summary of the family: Transfer RNA (tRNA) molecules are approximately 80 nucleotides in length. Their secondary structure includes four short double-helical elements and three loops (D, anti-codon, and T loops). Further hydrogen bonds mediate the characteristic L-shaped molecular structure. tRNAs have two regions of fundamental functional importance: the anti-codon, which is responsible for specific mRNA codon recognition, and the 3' end, to which the tRNAs corresponding amino acid is attached (by aminoacyl-tRNA synthetases). tRNAs cope with the degeneracy of the genetic code in two manners: having more than one tRNA (with a specific anti-codon) for a particular amino acid; and 'wobble' base-pairing, i.e. permitting non-standard base-pairing at the 3rd anti-codon position. Lineage: Eukaryota; Fungi; Ascomycota; Pichiomycetes; Serinales; Debaryomycetaceae. The record is from RNAcentral. RNAcentral also lists the same sequence under 1 other name.